GACACAAACAAAACAAAACGAAAAGGUGGCGCUGAGAAGCUCAGGGACCAAAAGAGAAAAUCCUUUCAUGACCAGCAAAUUAAAUAUAACCCACAUGUGGACAGAGAAGUGAAUCCCAGACUUGUUACGGCCGGCAUGUGUUCCAGAGGGGACCCGGAGAG
This is a long non-coding RNA of Salarias fasciatus (jewelled blenny), 161 nucleotides long. RefSeq lists it as uncharacterized. The transcript is spliced from 3 exons. Lineage: Eukaryota; Metazoa; Chordata; Actinopteri; Blenniiformes; Blenniidae. The record is from RefSeq and is a predicted model, not a curated record.